This 660-nucleotide ribosomal RNA is filed under the name uncultured bacterium. RNAcentral describes it as "bacterial SSU rRNA". It matches the Rfam family "Bacterial small subunit ribosomal RNA", at positions 94 to 788 of the family's 1533-position model. The record is from RNAcentral.
AGUGGCGGACGGGUGAGUAACGCGUGAGAAUCUGCCUUGGGGUCGGGGACAACCACUGGAAACGGUGGCUAAUACCGGAUACGCCUUCGGGUAAAAGAUUGAUUGCCCUAAGAGGAGCUCGCGUCUGAUUAGCUAGUUGGUGAGGUAAGAGCUCACCAAGGCAGCGAUCAGUAGCUGGUCUGAGAGGACGAUCAGCCACACUGGGACUGAGACACGGCCCAGACUCCUACGGGAGGCAGCAGUGGGGAAUUUUCCGCAAUGGGCGAAAGCCUGACGGAGCAAGACCGCGUGAGGGAGGAAGGCUCUUGGGUUGUAAACCUCUUUUCUCAGGGAAGAAGCUCUGACGGUACCUGAGGAAUCAGCCUCGGCUAACUCCGUGCCAGCAGCCGCGGUAAUACGGAGGAGGCAAGCGUUAUCCGGAAUUAUUGGGCGUAAAGCGUCCGCAGGUGGCGAUUCAAGUCUGCUGUCAAAGCACGGGGCUUAACUCCGUAAAGGCAGUGGAAACUGAAUAGCUAGAGUGCCGUAGGGGUAGAGGGAAUUCCCGGUGUAGCGGUGAAAUGCGUAGAGAUCGGGAAGAACAUCGGUGGCGAAAGCGCUCUACUGGACGGCAACUGACACUCAGGGACGAAAGCUAGGGGAGCGAAUGGGAUUAGAUACCCC